RNAcentral lists this ribosomal RNA (301 nucleotides) under uncultured bacterium. RNAcentral describes it as "partial 16S ribosomal RNA". It matches the Rfam family "Bacterial small subunit ribosomal RNA", at positions 509 to 807 of the family's 1533-position model. The record is from RNAcentral.
CAGCAGCCGCGGUAAUACGUAGGGCGCAAGCGUUGUCCGGAAUUAUUGGGCGUAAAGAGCUCGUAGGCGGUCUGUCGCGUCUGGUGUGAAAUCCCGAGGCUCAACCUCGGGCUUGCAUCGGGUACGGGCAGACUAGAGUGCGGUAGGGGAGACUGGAAUUCCUGGUGUAGCGGUGGAAUGCGCAGAUAUCAGGAGGAACACCGAUGGCGAAGGCAGGUCUCUGGGCCGCAACUGACGCUGAGGAGCGAAAGCAUGGGGAGCGAACAGGAUUAGAGACCCGUGUAGUCCCUGUCUCUUAUAC